Molecule: long non-coding RNA, 1367 nt
Organism: Harpia harpyja (harpy eagle)
Lineage: Eukaryota; Metazoa; Chordata; Aves; Accipitriformes; Accipitridae
Exons: 2
Source: RefSeq, a predicted model, not a curated record
UAAGGAGGACGGAGAGAAGCAACUUGUGCCAGCUUCCCACCUCUCUCGCCCAGCUGCCCGGUCUGGCGCAAGGCCAGCAUCGCACGGAACAGUAUUUGAACAGCAGCUGCCAUUGCUCCCAGGGCUGCCAGCCGACAAGGCUGACCUGCGAAGCACCAGGCAGACAGCAUCUAAUGGCAACGGCCAAAAAGAAACAGGAACGUUUCUUCCUCCCAGCUCUGAUGAUUUGAAUUGAUAUGGAAGAAAAAGACACACUUUAAAAAUGCUUGCUUGUGCGUGGAGUUUAAGAAAAGGUAUGUGCAUCUGAAGAUAGUGAAGGCAGUUAUGAAGGAGAGCUGACUUGAUUCAGGAACAUAAAACGGUGGGCCUGAAAGAAAAUGGGUGAAGCUAAUCAGAGAGAGGACACGGGAGGGAGACAAACAUUUACACUGCAGCAGGAGAGCCAGCCCCGUCGCUCUCAGCACCAGGCCCGCAAUCGGGCCCCAGUGUGUAGCACCAUCUGCAGGAACCAGAAAACACCACGUCCAAGAACUGGUGGCACCUUGGUGGGCCACCAGGCAGCUUCAGGUGUUGCUGCCGCAUCAUCUCCAGGCUGCAGCCAGGGUAGCCACGUUGUCAAAAGUCACAAAUAUGCCGUGGAUGCAACCACUCUCAGUGCGCUGUGUGAAUCUGGCCUAUAAUCUCUUUAUACUACAAUGGCAGAGUUAAAGCUAAAAGCCGAAUAAUGUGAGAGGGAGAACAAAGAAUUAAACUAUUGUUGCUUAGCGUAACAAGACCUAUUUUUUCAAGGAUAAUUAUGCUGAAGAGCCCAAAAGCAGCAAGAAGUCUCCUUCUUUGGAGUGUUAAUGAUUAACAACAACAAAAAAAAUCUUUUAAAAUACCUCAGACUUCGGUAUGUAACAAAAGUCAUAAAAGGAAAAAACACUUUAUGAUUUUACAGAAUUUCACCUCUUCCAAGCAUAGUCAGACCAUGGUAGUGGCUGGGAGAGAGGCACAAGACGGGCAACACGUUGGGUUGCAAGUACUGGGUAAACAAAGCAAAGCCAAUGUUCUUGGGAGUGCUUCAAGCUCCCUAGGCCAGACGGGAUGUUACUCUAAGCAUUCACUCUUCCAGCUUCAUUGUCAUAGCCACACUUCCAGUUUCAUUUCAUUGUUAAUAUACCAUGUCUGUCCUCCACUUAGCAUGUCUGAUUGCUAGAGAGAAAGCAAAUUUAGUCUCAAGCUUGGUCAACGUCUAAAAUUUUUAACACACAGUUGUAUUGGUGUGACCAGCUGACAAAGCUAUGCUGAUAAAAAACCUGGGGAAGAUACUAAUGUAUCUACCACAUCUCUAUACGAUUUGUAUUAAAGCACGCAAAAUCAAAACA